RNAcentral lists this ribosomal RNA (111 nucleotides) under Microtus ochrogaster (prairie vole). The record is from RNAcentral. Lineage: Eukaryota; Metazoa; Chordata; Mammalia; Rodentia; Cricetidae.
GUCCAUGUCCAUAGCACCCUGACCUAGCCCAAUCUUGUCUGAUCUUGGGAGCUAAGCAAGGUCAAGCCUGGUUGAUACUUGAAUGGGAGAUGAAUGUUUACAACAUAGGCC